Non-coding RNA from Malus domestica (apple), 1801 nucleotides. Lineage: Eukaryota; Viridiplantae; Streptophyta; Magnoliopsida; Rosales; Rosaceae. The record is from RefSeq and is a predicted model, not a curated record.
GAUUUUUUUGGGGCAUGUAAAUUUUGCUAAUUUAGGAAUAACAAGUAGGUGGUAGUUACAACUGCAUGCUCCAAUGCAACAAAGGAGUAUUUGGGGAGGCACAAAGACAAGAUGGUUAGAGAAUUUGGUUAUACUAUCGUUCCCUCCACACAUUCUUAUCUCCCUAGCUCUAGAAUAUUUAAGAGAGAGAGAGAGAGAGAGAGUUGAUGAGAAUAUAGCACAGCUUCAGUGCCAAGACGUUGCCAAGGAGAGCGUACGACAGUGGUUCUCCGUCAGGGAUUUGUUUCGUUCAGAGCCGGAGACAUUUCUACGUAAGCAUGCAGGUUAGAGUUUGAUGGAGAGUUGAAUUAAUUCACAGAAGGUGAGAAAUGGGAAGAGGUCAAACACAAAAGAAGGCGGGGGAGGUGGUGGCUGUAGCAAUAGACAAUGACAAGGGCAGCCAACAUGCUCUCAAAUGGACUAUUGAUAGUCUUGUCACCAGAGGUCAAGCUCUCACGCUGCUCCAAGUUAGACAAAUAACCGCAAUUCCCACGCAAAGUACAUUCUCUCUCUCUGUAUGUGUGUGUGUGUGUGUAAAUGCAUGAAUGCAUAAGAUGCUGAUGAUGAUCGUAAUUUACUAAUGUACGUCACCAGCCACAAAGGAGGUUGAAAAGGCUCAAGCCAAAGAGUUGUUUCAACCAUUCCGCUGCUUUUGCACGAAAAAACUUGUGAGUAAUGCUUCUUCCCUUCAUAAAAGUGAUAGUGCAUUGCCUAUCCCGCUCCAUGAACAGUUGAGCGGAAUCCCUCGUUUCGCAACGUGAUUUGUAGUUGUACUGCUUAUUUGAUUUUUGCAACAGCUAAAAUGCAAUGAAGUCAUGAUCGAGGAUAAAAACAUAGCAAAAGCACUGGUAAACUAUGUUGUCAAUAAUUCAAUCGACAUUUUGGUACUUGGUGCGCCGUCGAGAAGCGGCCUUCUCAGGUACUGAUUUCUUCUCCAAGUUAUAUCUCAGUUCAUAUGCACCAACACUGUAAAAUUCAUCAGAAAAAUAGUAUCAAAGAGAACAAGCAUCAAUCGUAAAAUGUAUAAAUCAUUCAUUUAUUUGAAUGGAACUAUAACUGUAGGUAGUUAAGUAUUACAUCUUUAAAAUCCAAUGAACUAAGAAAACUUUCAUACAUCUGUCUCAACUAAUACCAGCUUACAUACGCCGAAAAUUUGAUGGUUUGAGAAAUCAUUUAUUCAAGAUCUGGUUCCGCACGUUGUAGUCUUACCUCAGUUUUUUCUUCUCGGAAGCCAUCAAUUACGCAUGCAUCAUAAUUAUAUCAAUCUCGUCACAGAUUCAAAACAACGGACGUUCCAAACAGUCUCAAAAGAGGCACCGAGUUUCUGCACUGUGUAUGUCGUUGGCGAGGGAAAGAUAUCAUAUAUGCGAGCUGUUACCACUUCACUGUCCCAGAAAGCUUACUUGCCUAAUCAAAAACGGCACCAAACAAACAAAGCUUCUGACACAAAUGAUACGCAAUUCAGCCACAACCAGCAAUGCAGAGCAUGGGAGAGGACGCAGUAUCCACCACAAAGCCAGCAAUAAGGAGCAUGCCUCCAACUACAAACUUGACAGCAGAAACUAAUAUACCACAAAUGAUUAUCCGAGCCAGUUCUGGUGUCCCAAUAUCAUUCCUUCAAUAAUUGAUACCUAAUUAGUACAAGACUCCCCAGCAGGAUAUUAUGCUCACAUAUAUAAAUGUAGAGUUGAUGUUUAAAUAGUCUUAAGGCUCCACAACAACAGGAUGUUUUUGCCAGAAAUUAUACCGAGGAAAUUAUUUA